Molecule: long non-coding RNA, 1348 nt
Filed under: Marmota monax (woodchuck)
Lineage: Eukaryota; Metazoa; Chordata; Mammalia; Rodentia; Sciuridae
Source: RNAcentral
UGAUGUUCCCAGGGCACGCAGUCUCCCUGCCCAGCUGCCGGGCUGCCUCCCAGGCCUUCAGCUCCUCAUCUGCCCCCUGCUGCACCCACAGCGUUCUGAGGGUGGGCCGCCACGUGGCGGUCACAUCACACCGCGGAGCGUUCCGUCUGUACGCACAGACGUCACUGUGGCCCAGCUUCCCCGUGGGUGGCACAGCGCUGCCCCGACCCGCCGUCGCCGUGCCUCCAGGCUGUCCACCCAGCCUCAGAAGCACAGCUUCCUGUCCUUCACUGGGACUUUGAAGAGUUCAGCAAAAGCUCGGAAAACUGCUCUCGUGCCGUCAUGAUGGUCAUGUGCCAUCUGUGUCCACCAGCAUCAUAACUGCCCUGCGCCAGGCACCAAAGACGUGGAUCCCGGGAAUCUCUUGAAACAUGGGGUUGGACCCACAUCCCUGUCUGCUGGCCUCAGGGGUGCGGGCCCCCUCUUUGAGGCAGGUCGGUGGCUUUUCGACACAGCCUCUGGGUGGUGUCUGGGGGACUCUUGAGACCCCGUCCCAGGUCGACACCCUGGGAGCACUCUGUUGGGAAGACCCUGACCCUGCUCGUCCCGUCUCCCUGGGGUGCUCUCCCUAACUCCGCUGGAGGUCACACACCACAGGAAAGAGCCCCUUAUUAAGUGUCCCUCCUGGUGGACUGUCACAGCGCAAGCACCGAAAGUCCAGCACCAGGUAGGAGGACAGUCCAGCCCCAGGAGCCCAGGGGACUCCAGCCCUGGUCUUCAUCAGUGGCAAUGCUGACCUAGAAAAUAUUUAGCAAUGGCUGGAGGUGUUUGGGGUUGUGACAAUCCUGAGUGAUGCUGCUGUCCCCAGUGGGGCGAGGCAGGGACGUUGCUCUACACCCUGCAGGGCCCAGGGAAGCCACUGCUCAGGCCAGAUGGCUGGGCCUCCUUUGGGCCCACCCCAGGGGCAUGUGGCCGCUGGUCCAAGGUCAGGCUGCAUCUGUGAUGCCCAAAGAUGCCCCCCUGCCUAUGAGGCCCCUCAUGGGGCCACCUUCCUAGACUGGGGCUCUGCACACCCCCCUCUUCCUGCCUGUCUGACCGCCUGAUUCUUCACUGUGGCCUGGUGAGACCGGGAGGGUCUUGGCAGGCGUGAUUUAGGAAGCCAGGAUCUGCUUACCUGGUGAGACCUCCCCAGGAGGACCCAGGACUCCCUCCUCACGAGCUCCAGCCCACCAGACACCGCCCUGCGCAGAGCUGGCCCUUGGUGAGGGAGCCUCGAACUGGGACACCUGCAACCACUCAGGGCCUUAGCGUCCCCUGAGAGUGGCCCUGCUGCCAUGGCUCCCUUCCCGUCCCUGGCUCAGGCCUCCAC